CUUUGCCAAGUGUUUCUGGCACUCGGCAUAGGGUGCGAUUCCAGUAGUGAAUAACAACUCAGGCGCUACUCGCUUCUUCGACAACUCGGGUGGCGGGUUCCAAUGGUGGCGGCUUAUCCAAUGGUGGUGCAGCGUGCAGGUAGGAUGGUGAUCGCGGUAACCGUGAAAGCUGCUAGAUAUGCAAGGAGGAAGGGCACGGUGCAUGGCGAUGCAAAAAGCAGAAUGACAAAGGCUACAACAACAAAGUUUGCCAUCCAGCAAGUGGCAGCAAUGACGGCGGUGGGGGCGAUGGUGGUGGACAUCACCGUCUUGCCAACGCUGCCCACUCCUAUGACGUAGAUACUAACUGGUAUCUUGACACUGGCGCGACGGACCACGUCAUUGGUGAAUUGGAGAACCUUGUUGUUCGCGAUCGCUACACCGACAAAGAACAAAUUCACACCGCGAGCGGGUAAGGCUACCAGGAGAACAAUACUUUAAAACAAGAGUAGAUGGGGCUUGUUUCGAGUGACCGGACGACAGAGUGCUCCUCAACGGCAAGUGCUUGGCGCAACCAAAUCAUCCAUGGCUUGGUGGCACAAGCGUCUAUGGCAUCCCUCCCUUCCGGUAGUCCAGAAAAUUCCUUGAGAUUUUAAUCUCGCCGUGUCCAAUGAACAAGAUCAUGCUUUAGCUUGUCGGAUGGCCAAGAGCCAUCAACUGCCUUAUUCUUGCCCAGUUAGUGAAUCCAAAGCUCCUUUAGAGCUCAUUUUUUCAGAUGUGUGGGGGUCCUGGAACCGUUUCUCUAGGCAGACAGAAAUAUUAUGUCAGUUUUAUCGUUGAUUUUAGCAACUUCACUUGGAUCUAUUUGCUCAAUAAAAAAUAUCGAUGUAUUUAAAAAA
Molecule: long non-coding RNA, 878 nt
Organism: Hordeum vulgare subsp. vulgare (domesticated barley)
Lineage: Eukaryota; Viridiplantae; Streptophyta; Magnoliopsida; Poales; Poaceae
Exons: 2
Source: RefSeq, a predicted model, not a curated record